AUGCUUGAAUUCUGCAGCUGUGUGAGGCCUGAAGACCAACUAGUGGGACCUGCCUUCGAACAUCUUAAUGUCUGCUGUGUGAGAAAAAUAAGUAGGCUAAUUAUAUUGGACUUGGAUGCCAUCUUGGUCUUCCUAUCUCUUCAUCACGUUUUCCCAGGGUCACAUGGAAGAAAUGACAACAAACAAGUUUCUGAAAAAUGCAGAACACUACAUAAACUCCAGGUUGUGUUAUUAUAAAAGUUAGAAUACAAUAAGCCUUUUUUCUUCAGGAACCUAAUUAUAGUACUUGUGAUCAUUAUGAAAUUAGCCUCCACAAGGUAGAAUGUUUCCUGUUUAUUGUUUAAAUGUGAGCUAAACUAAAAAUGGGCGUGAGAACUGUGCUUACGUCAGCCACAAAUAGAUUAAAAUUGGACUCAUACAGAGAGGAUUAGCAUGACCUUUAAGGCUUCCCUGAUAGCUCAGCUGGUAAGGAAAUCAUCUGCAAUGCAGGAGACCCCGAUUCAAUUCCUGGGUUGAGAAGAUCCCCUGGAGAAGGGAUAGGCUACCCACUCCAGUAUUCUUGGGCUUCCCUGUGGCUCAGCUGGUAAAGAAUCGGCCUGCAAUGAGGAAGACCUGGGUUUGAUUCCUGGUUUGGGAAGAUACCCUGGAGAAGGGAACAACUCCAGUAUUCUGACCUGAAGAAUUCCAAAGGGUCACAAAGAGUCAGACACGACUGAGCGACUUUCACUUUUGCCCCACAUGAUUUUCAGUAUUUUAGGGUUAGGGUUAUUGUAUUUCAUAUUUUGCAAUCUUUCUGUAAAUCUAAAAUUAAGUUAAAAUUUUAAAAGACCUCAGUUUAAUUAUUUUGAGAUUAAUUUACUGGAUCCAUUGAGUCAGUCUAUUAUACAAUUUAGACAAAUUUAGAGUGAUUUCUGUAUUUUUCUAAAAUGACUGUAGAAUUCAUGAGUGAGGAGAAAAGAGCUGCGUCUAAACCCAAAACUCAGACUUCAAACUCAUGGGUGAUUCAACACUAUCAGAUAAAAACUUUUUUUAAAAAAAGGACAUAUAUUGGUUGAGAAUGAGUUAUAAGUCUCAUCUUACCAAUAAAAUGAUCAGGACUCUGUACUGCCAUUGACUCUAACUGCCAAUGUUACAGUUAGCCAAUGAUAAGAUUUCCCUAAACACAGCUUCCUCCUGACCUCUUGUACAUCCUUAAAUCCCAAUGUCAUAUACUACCAUAGGUAAAUCUCAACAAUAGUACCUCAGACGGGGAAGUUUUGCUUUACAAGUGUUAUUUUUCUUAAUGAACCUGGUAGAGAGUAGAGUGUGUUGUGCCCAGAACUUCUGGGUCUUUCCUCAGAUUCCAAGAACAAAUCAGAAUAUGACCAAUGUUAUAGUCAAUGUUAAACAGUUAUCUGAACAUUCUUCUCAGAUUUUGAACAGUUGUGCCUUCAGUGAGAUGCUGUUUAAACACUCUUGUUUCUUGAGCAUUCAAAAAAUUCACAACUCUCUGGUUGCCUAAUCAGAUUGUACUUGCUCUGCCAGCCACUCCCAGCUCCUCCUUAGGGAAGCAGGAGCUCCUGUGAACUCAGGUGACUGGCAGAAGCCGUGCUGGACUAUGCAUCACCGAGGGUAACAGCAGUAGCUCACUCCCCCUUGGUUUUGCCCAGUCAGAGUAUAUAAAUGAGUUCUGAUAAGUGACCAGAUACUAUUCUUCUGUGAUCUCUCUUUUAAAAGUUAGUGGCACAUGGCCAAGCAAGAGAGAACUUAAUACUCAAGGCACAUUCUCUUAGCAGCAAUGGCUUCCUGAAGAGAAACAACCAUGCCUUCCAUUAGUGGGCAUGAACCAGAAGCAGAAGAGAAAGCAAAAAAAAAAAAAAAAAAGGCAGAAGAGAGGAAAUAGAAAGUUAAACUUCUCAGAGGCUGAGAAAGGGCCAUGUCAAUUCCAGUUGCUGAAACCUUCAAAAAAUUGGGGAGGGGAAUACAGAAAAGCCCAAACUGGCUUACUACAUUACAGUAUAUUUUUUAUUUACAUGAACAAAUAAAGCUGCAAAGUGAGCAUCAUUCUGACUUGUCAGUGUGUAUCUGAUUUGGAAAUAACAUGAGAGUCUAAUCUGAAUCUUUAUGAAUAUGAAGCCCAAG
Molecule: long non-coding RNA, 2121 nt
Organism: Bos grunniens (domestic yak)
Lineage: Eukaryota; Metazoa; Chordata; Mammalia; Artiodactyla; Bovidae
Source: Ensembl